AGGUGGCAGUCCAUACGUCAUAUCCGUAUUCGUAGCUCCAUUUUGAUUUGAGAGAGAUUCACCUAUUACUUAAAGAAGUCGGAUUAGCAUUGGCAAUGGGUACCUUCAUAUAGCAUUCCGUCGGAUGCAGAAGGCCAGCUCGAUUCGAGCAGAGAGAUGAGUCUCUCAAUGUUAUGGAUUCAGAGAUCAAGGAUUCUGCUUGUAAGGGGUUCUCUUAUGGUGGUUUCUGUAGCAGAUCCGUCCCUGUUGACGCAGGUGAAGGUGUUUCAGUCAGUCAAGGCUCGUGUUGUGUGGGAUGACAUACUGCGCAUCGAGUCAAUAGGAUAUCUCCGAGUGUCCUGAUCCAGCAUCUAUCUAGUUACCUCUUCUGGUUUUUCGACAAUGAUCUUCGUCCGGGGAGGUUUUAAUAGAUUUAGCGUCGUUGCGGAAUAUACUUUGAUUGUUGUGUUAUUGUAAUUUAUA
Molecule: long non-coding RNA, 462 nt
Organism: Ceratina calcarata
Lineage: Eukaryota; Metazoa; Arthropoda; Insecta; Hymenoptera; Apidae
Exons: 3
Source: RefSeq, a predicted model, not a curated record